Molecule: non-coding RNA, 602 nt
Organism: Neurospora crassa OR74A
Lineage: Eukaryota; Fungi; Ascomycota; Sordariomycetes; Sordariales; Sordariaceae
Source: RefSeq, a predicted model, not a curated record
CCAGGAUCGGCAUCAUAUUCAUUUUCCCCAGUCAGACACAUUCCCGCACCCUGAUCCUUUUCUUCAAGCUUUACACCCACUCGUACCUUUUUAUCCUUGGCAUUUUCAACCUCCAGCGCUCUCCGAACUGCGGCUGGUGGAUAUACUCGCAAACUUGGCGACAGUUAGGUUGUAAUCAACCCACCAGUCGAACAUCGUCAAUGGGUUGGUGAUAAGGUCGAUGGCCUCAGGCACAAUGACCUUGUUAAUGAUGUAUAGAAUGUGGUCAUUGCUGAGGCCGAAUGAGCUUUGGAUUGCCGACAUGAUAUUGUGGCGGCGCCUUUCAGCGCUGGCAAUGACAGCUGUCUCGGAGGAGAUUGAGGGUGUGUUCAUGGUGCAAGGGCGUACUUCCUUGGGGUUUGGGCUAUUGUGAAGUGAAAUUCAGGGUGGUGAUGAUAACCGAAUGGAUGGUGAUGGUGAGUUGGAAGUGAGCGAGAAGCCGGGCAACGAAGCAGGCAGAAGCCACGAGCACUGAAUAGCCGCUGAUAGCGAUAAGGAAAGAGGAAAGGACGGAAAACGCGUUUGGGUCAUUAUCUCUACUUCAAGGUACUUACUUCAAGUGA